Molecule: transfer RNA, 153 nt
Filed under: Candidatus Enterococcus stercoravium
Lineage: Bacteria; Bacillati; Bacillota; Bacilli; Lactobacillales; Enterococcaceae
Description: tRNA-Arg
Source: RNAcentral
GUAGCUCAGCUGGAUAGAGCAUCCGCCUUCUAAGCGGACGGUCGGGGGCUUAUUUUUCCUUAAAGUGAUAGCAUGGUAUGGCAUGGAAACACUGCUGUAUCAGGCUUUUUUUGUGCUUUCAAAUUUCUAAGCGGACAGUCUCUGUAACGUCCA